ACUCUAGUAAGACUGCCGGUGACAAACCGGAGGAAGGUGGGGAUGACGUCAAAUCAUCAUGCCCCUUAUGACCUGGGCUACACACGUGCUACAAUGGAUGGUACAACGAGUUGCGAGACCGCGAGGUCAAGCUAAUCUCUUAAAGCCAUUCUCAGUUCGGACUGUAGGCUGCAACUCGCCUACACGAAGUCGGAAUCGCUAGUAAUCGCGGAUCAGCACGCCGCGGUGAAUACGUUCCCGGGCCUUGUACACACCGCCCGUCACACCAUGAGAGUUUGUAACACCCGAAGCCGGUGGCGUAACCCUUUUAGGGAGCGAGCCGUCUAAGGUGGGACAAAUGAUUAGGGUGAAGUCGUAACAAGGUAGCCGUAGGAGAACCUGCGGCUGGAUCACCUCCUUU
This 400-nucleotide ribosomal RNA is filed under the name Lacticaseibacillus rhamnosus. Its description in RNAcentral is "bacterial SSU rRNA". It matches the Rfam family "Bacterial small subunit ribosomal RNA", at positions 1137 to 1533 of the family's 1533-position model. The record is from RNAcentral. Lineage: Bacteria; Bacillati; Bacillota; Bacilli; Lactobacillales; Lactobacillaceae.